UUUGACCCCUGUUUUCUCCGUUGUUUGCUUCUUUCCCUAAAGCCUCAUUCACCUCACCCCUCCGUCCCCAGCGCGCACCGCCUCUGCAGGACGUAUUUUGGAUGUUGCGGGUUGGUGGUAGGGAGCUGUUUAAUCUACAUUUUGGGUUCAUCCUGGCCCCUGCGCUCUCGAGUCUAAGUAGGUUGACUGAGCGCUAACGAAGUGUGGAACUGCGCUCGGUUCUUAUGCGCAUUGCCGCCCAGUGAUGCGGACAAGUGAUAUCCCCAUUUUAGAGAAUUAAAAACAGGACGCGAAAUUGGCGAACUUGCCCAGACUGAAAAAAGGCAAAGCAGAUACCGGGUCUGUCAUGGGAGUGCAGCCCAAGCCUUAACCUCUCUCCCCGCUGUGACGGCCUCCGCCUGCCUCCCCGAGCUCCAUCUGUGGAGGCCUGUUUGUGUAAAGGCCCAAACCUCCCUUGCUCAGCUCAGUUCACCUUGUGUUCGUUCCUAGGGUUGGGACUCCGGUUCCCCAGCCGCUCUGGCUAGUUCUUCAUCGGGCUCUUUGGGCGACCGCACAGGUCUAGGUAGGACGCUCACUUUCACAAACGGAAAGAGAAUGUUAAAAGUUUGCCCAGCGUACGCCUUAGGGCAGGAUCCCUUCUCUUGUGACUUUCUAGAACCCUGUUUGCUGUUAAGGAAUAUUUACCUUUUCCUUCUUUCAUAUCAGAGUAGCAGCUGUCAGAUCUUUCUAGAUAGCUGCAAAUAUUUCAACUUUUUUCUUUCAACUGUUCUGGACAGGAAUCCUUGCUUAUAUCAGAAUCUUUAAUCUUUUCAAGGAAAGAAAAGUGCAUCUAGUUAGAAAAAAAUAGAGAAAGUUUUUCUUCAGUAUUGCCUUCAGACCUGGACAAGGGAACCCCUGUGUAAUUAUUCUUUGGGUUUCGGGGGUGGGGGUGGGGUGUCUGGUCUUCCUCAGGCUGUGUCCCUCCCCACUGGAGGAGUCUGUCUGCAGGUGGAUGGGGCUGCCCACCCAGAGUCCACAUUGCCCACCGCAUCCCAGACCCUUACUGAAUUCCCUACCCAAAGGCCCAAGCCUGCUCUGUGCACGUUGGGGUGGGGCAGGCCCCACCCCUGAAGAGUGCCUAAUCAGGCAGCUGUGCUGGAAGUGUGGGCUCAGGUCUGCAGGUGAGCCUGAGGCCACUCUGGGAGGAGAUGGAGCCUAGGUGGGGAAGGGAAAGGAUUCUGUUCAUUGGCGUGGGCUGCCCUUUCUUGCCUGACCCAGAACUCUGAGGGGUCUGAGAAUUCUAAUCGUACUUGGCCUUUCAGGUUGUUAUAAAGCUACAUUUGCCAAGGAAGGAGGAUUUUGUGACCGUCUGUUGGUGGAUAGCACUGAAAAGUAAUUAUGUGGGCCCCCAGUGUCCUCCUGUCUGAGGCUCCAGGAAGAUUAGGGGCAGGCCUGGCUUUAGCUGCAUUGUUGUUAUUGUUUAGCCCCAAUCCUUCCCACUCCUUGGACUGUAGCCCACCAGACUCCUCUGUCCAUGGAAUUUCCCAGCUUUCUGUCACUUUGCAAAACCUCAGGCCAUCUGAUUUUGCCCACGGAUUCGAUCCCUGGGUCGGGAAGAUCCCCUGGAGAAGAGCAUGGAAACCAUCUCCAGUAUUUUUUCCUGAAGAAUCCCAUGGACAGAGGAGCCAGAGCCAACAUCUCACCAAAAUCUACUUCAAGAGGCCAAAUCUCUCUGUGUACACUUUUUGCCAUCCUAUUUGCCCCAACUCUUGUCUGGAUUACUUCAUCCUUUACUGCUCUUUAGCCCUGAGUUCACUCUCCACAUUGCAACCAGAGUGACUUUUUAAACGUGAAUUGGAAGAAUUGAUGCUUUUGAACUGUGGUGUUGGAGAAGACUCUUGAGAGUCCCUUGGACUGCAAGGAGAUCCAACCAGUCCAUCCUAAAGGAGAUCAGUCCUGGGUGUUCAUUGG
This is a long non-coding RNA of Bubalus bubalis (water buffalo), 1950 nucleotides long. RefSeq lists it as uncharacterized. The record is from RefSeq and is a predicted model, not a curated record. Lineage: Eukaryota; Metazoa; Chordata; Mammalia; Artiodactyla; Bovidae. The transcript has 3 exons.